Molecule: transfer RNA, 57 nt
Filed under: Bos taurus (domestic cattle)
Lineage: Eukaryota; Metazoa; Chordata; Mammalia; Artiodactyla; Bovidae
Also listed under: 4 other names
Rfam family: tRNA
About the family: Transfer RNA (tRNA) molecules are approximately 80 nucleotides in length. Their secondary structure includes four short double-helical elements and three loops (D, anti-codon, and T loops).
Source: Rfam by way of RNAcentral
UAGCUCAGUUGGUAAAGAAUCUGCCUGCAAUGCAGGAGACCCUGGUUCGAAUCCUGG